This 65-nucleotide transfer RNA is filed under the name Zeugodacus cilifer. RNAcentral's name for it is "tRNA-Phe". It matches the Rfam family "tRNA". Rfam says of the family: Transfer RNA (tRNA) molecules are approximately 80 nucleotides in length. Their secondary structure includes four short double-helical elements and three loops (D, anti-codon, and T loops). The record is from RNAcentral. Lineage: Eukaryota; Metazoa; Arthropoda; Insecta; Diptera; Tephritidae.
AUUCAAGUAGCUUAAAGUAGAGCAUAACACUGAAGAUGUUAGGGUAAUUGUUUAAUUCUUGGAUG